AUUGAACGCUGGCGGCAUGCUUUACACAUGCAAGUCGAACGGUAACAGGUUAAGCUGACGAGUGGCGAACGGGUGAGUAAUGCAUCGGAACGUGCCCGGUCGUGGGGGAUAACGCAGCGAAAGCUGCGCUAAUACCGCAUACGAUCUGAGGAUGAAAGCGGGGGACCGUAAGGCCUCGCGCGAUCGGAGCGGCCGAUGUCAGAUUAGGUAGUUGGUGGGGUAAAGGCUCACCAAGCCAACGAACUGUAGCUGGUCUGAGAGGACGACAAGCCAGACUGGCACCGAGACACGGCCCAGACUCCUACGGGAGACAGGGGUGGGGAAUUUUGGACAAUGGGCGAGAGCCUGAUUCAGCAAUGCCGCGUGCAGGAAGAAGGCCUUCGGGUUGUAACCUGCUUUUGUACGGAGCGAAAAGGUCUCCUCUAAUACAGGGGGCUCAUGACGGUACCGUAAGAAUAAGCACCGGCUAACUACGUGCCAGCCGCCGCAGUAA
Molecule: ribosomal RNA, 493 nt
Filed under: uncultured bacterium
Lineage: Bacteria
Description: partial 16S ribosomal RNA
Rfam family: Bacterial small subunit ribosomal RNA
Source: RNAcentral